This 904-nucleotide ribosomal RNA is filed under the name uncultured Planctomycetota bacterium. RNAcentral describes it as "bacterial SSU rRNA". It matches the Rfam family "Bacterial small subunit ribosomal RNA", at positions 8 to 918 of the family's 1533-position model. The record is from RNAcentral. Lineage: Bacteria; Pseudomonadati; Planctomycetota.
AGAGUUUGAUCAUGGCUCAGAACGAACGUUGGCGGCGUGGAUUAGGCAUGCAAGUCGAACGAAUCCCCCAGGGCUUGCUCUGGGGGGAAGUGGCGAAAGGGGCAGUAAGCCGUGGGUAACUACCCCGGGGACCGGGAUAGCCAUCCUAACGGGUGGGUAAUACCGGGCGAUGUUGUUCCGGCGCCUGUCGGAGCAACCAAACGAAUUUCGCCCUGGGAGGGGCUCACGUGGUAUUAGCUGGUUGGUGGGGUAACGGCCUACCAAGGCUCAGAUGCCUAGCAGGUGUGAGAGCACGACCUGCGCCACUGGCACUGCGACACUGGCCAGACUCCUACGGGAGGCUGCAGUCGAGGAUCUUCGGCAAUGGGCGCAAGCCUGACCGAGCGACGCCGCGUGCGCGAUGAAGGCCUUCGGGUUGUAAAGCGCUGUCGAGGGGGAGGAAAGCCCGCAAGGGUUUGACCUAGCCCUGGAGGAAGCACGGGCUAAGUUCGUGCCAGCAGCCGCGGUAAGACGAACCGUGCGAACGUUGUUCGGAUUCACUGGGCUUAAAGGGCGCGUAGGCGGUUGUCCACGUCCGGGGUGAAAGCUUUCGGCUUAACCGGAAGAGGGCCUUGGAUACGGGGCAACUCGAGGGAGGUAGGGGCAGGUGGAACUUCCGGUGGAGCGGUGAAAUGCGUUGAUAUCGGAAGGAACGCCGGUGGCGAAAGCGACCUGCUGGACCUCUACUGACGCUGAGGCGCGAAAGCCAGGGGAGCAAACGGGAUUAGAUACCCCGGUAGUCCUGGCCCUAAACGAUGGGUACUAGGUGGUGGACUUAACAUGGGUUCCCUGCCGAAGCUAAAGUGGUAAGUACCCCGCCUGGGGAGUAUGGUCGCAAGGCUGAAACUCAAAUGAAUUGACGGGG